This 546-nucleotide ribosomal RNA is filed under the name uncultured bacterium. Its description in RNAcentral is "bacterial SSU rRNA". It matches the Rfam family "Bacterial small subunit ribosomal RNA", at positions 355 to 895 of the family's 1533-position model. The record is from RNAcentral.
UAGGGAAUCUUCCGCAAUGGGCGAAAGCCUGACGGAGCAACGCCGCGUGAGUGAAGAAGGAUUUCGGUUCGUAAAGCUCUGUUGUUAGGGAAGAAUGAUUGUGUAGUAACUAUACACAGUAGAGACGGUACCUAACCAGAAAGCCACGGCUAACUACGUGCCAGCAGCCGCGGUAAUACGUAGGUGGCAAGCGUUGUCCGGAAUUAUUGGGCGUAAAGCGCGCGCAGGUGGUUUAAUAAGUCUGAUGUGAAAGCCCACGGCUCAACCGUGGAGGGUCAUUGGAAACUGUUAAACUUGAGUGCAGGAGAGAAAAGUGGAAUUCCUAGUGUAGCGGUGAAAUGCGUAGAGAUUAGGAGGAACACCAGUGGCGAAGGCGGCUUUUUGGCCUGUAACUGACACUGAGGCGCGAAAGCGUGGGGAGCAAACAGGAUUAGAUACCCUGGUAGUCCACGCCGUAACGAUGAGUGCUAAGUGUUGGUCUCAUAAGAGAUCAGUGCUGCAGCUAACGCAUUAAGCACUCCGCCUGGGGAGUACGACCGCAAGGUU